GAUGAAGAACGCAGCGAAAUGCGAUAAGUAAUGUGAAUUGCAGAAUUCAGUGAAUCAUCGAAUCUUUGAACGCACAUUGCGCCCCCUGGUAUUCCGGGGGGCAUGCCUGUCCUAGCGUCAUUACAACCCUCAAGCUCAGCUUGGUGUUGGGCCCCGCCGCCCCGGCGGGCCCUAAAGUCAGUGGCGGUGCCGUCCGGCUCCGAGCGUAGUAAUUCUUCUCGCUCUGGAGGCCCGGCCGCGUGCCCGCCAGCAACCCCCAAUUUUUUUCAGGUUGACCUCGGAUCAGGUAGGGAUACCCGCUGAACUUAAGCAUAUCAAUAAGCGGAGGA
RNAcentral lists this unclassified non-coding RNA (329 nucleotides) under soil metagenome. RNAcentral's name for it is "partial contains 5.8S ribosomal RNA, internal transcribed spacer 2, and large subunit ribosomal RNA". The stretch from base 1 to 120 matches the Rfam family "5.8S ribosomal RNA", at positions 35 to 154 of the family's 154-position model. The record is from RNAcentral.